AAAUUUAUGACUAAUUAGAUAAUUUUCUAUUUGCAAAUCAUGUGACUUCCGAAAUGUAAAGAUCAAAGUUUAAGUAGGAUAUGUAUGUGCUAAAAAUGGGAUCGAAGUAAUGGCAAAUGGAGUCAAAUAAAAGACUUGGAAUCUGGCUUUCGCAGGAAAUUUUCAUGUGGAUACGGAAAGUAUAUGGAUUAACUUAAGCUAAUUUGCAUCUGUCAAUUCCGGAAACAAAUCUAGGGCUCUAACACCACACGAGUAGCCUCAUAACAAGCUAUAUAGAGAUGACAUCCUUCUCAAUGGAAUUCGUACCUGUAAAAAGCGGUCCUAGAGCAAGAGUCAUGCAUAUACUUUUGGGAUAAAAGUCUUAGGAAAAAAGGAGAAGAAAGAAACAAUGGAGAGAGCUCUAAUCUGAAACGCUGGUGGACAAUCCUCCUCAUGCUCGUUUUAGCUUUUGGCUUAGCUUCUGCAACAACCGAGAGAGAAACCGGUCACAGAAGGCCGUGCCGAUGUUGGUGAAGUAGGUCGAGCAACCCCUUUUUCACCCUGAAAUGCCCGAUUCAGGGUGGAGCAGUUUAAGGACCUACUCAGGUCCAAAAGCAAUUGCUUGUAACCAUUAAAUAAAAUUCACAGAUGGAAUAAAGUUGCUGCGGAUUUAGUUGCGUGUGAUAGUCCCUUCUGCACCUAAUCCUAGUGGAAAUGUCAGCGUCGGAGAAGAAGGCGAAGCAACCAAUUUUCAUUGCCA
Molecule: long non-coding RNA, 739 nt
Filed under: Eucalyptus grandis
Lineage: Eukaryota; Viridiplantae; Streptophyta; Magnoliopsida; Myrtales; Myrtaceae
Description: long non-coding RNA (EGRA_LNC001257)
Source: RNAcentral